RNAcentral lists this long non-coding RNA (1335 nucleotides) under Vigna radiata. RNAcentral's name for it is "long non-coding RNA (VRAD_LNC012710)". Lineage: Eukaryota; Viridiplantae; Streptophyta; Magnoliopsida; Fabales; Fabaceae. The record is from RNAcentral.
AUCAAUUCAAUUAUUAUUAUACAGGAAGACAUCCCGUUCAUAAGUUGCCCACCUCGGGGUCUAAAGUUCUAAUAGAGAACUAAAAAAUGAAUAACAAUCAAUUGAUUUACCACUUCAAAACAGAUUCAAUUCCAAAUCCACAAACACAACUCACAAACAUAAACUAAAACAAUAUGAACUAAAAUAUUUUUUUAUGGAUUGAACUCUUAUCUGGCUCGGGAAGACAUCCCGUUCAUUUACGCCCACUCUGGGGUCGUUUAAUUCCAAAAAGGAAUUUCAAUAUGCAAAUUUACGAGUUCAAAUCAUUUUUUUUUUAUCAAAACAACACAAGAACACAAUCACAAGAACACAAGAACGAAAACAAUCAACAUAACGGAAUAGUAAAGCACUUAACACUGAGAAACAUCAAAGAAAAACACAAUUUAUUAACAAGAAAAGAAAAUUACAAUGAUUUACCGAAUGAAAAGUGCAAUCGGNGCCACCACGGACUGUCACCACCGUGAGUGUUUCGCUCCAAAAGCANAGAAACCAAAACCCUAAACUAAAGAUCGUAAACUAUAGAGUGGAAAGUGUCUAAGAGUCUAAGAGUCUGUGUCAGUGUACAAGGCAGAACACCCUUUUUAUAGGGUCUGAAGAAAACGAAAAAAAUAUGGGAAAGGGGAACCUUGCUUCACUUGGACGUUUCGAACUCUUGAUCCAAUGGCCACUGUUCAUUUGCUCCAAGCUUGCGUUAUCAGCCCUUCGAUCAACUCUUCAUUUUCCCGCCGGUCAGGUCUUCUUCUCCGGGCAGAGAACCACACCAGUGGAGCUCCUUCUUUUCAGCUCUCCCCUGCCCUAGCUUUGGAUGUUUCCUCUCAAGUGAAUCUUCGAGCAUCUCUUUCUGCCAAAUGAGUUACAAAAUUGAGACCCCCAAAACUACAACAGUGCACCAGACGACGUCGUCUCACUAAAUCAGCUCAAGUCCAGCCCAAUUGGUAACGUGGCAGCAGCAGUGCAGAACGCUGUCGUUCUACUAAUUGGAAUCAAGGUCCAGCAACCCAUUUUCAUUCAUCAAGCAACGUUAGUGGCAUUCCAUUCUUCAUCACUUCAGCCCGUGCAAUGGCAGCAGCUUGGCUUUUCCAACAACAAUCACGACCCAAUUAAUUGUACCUGCAGCAAAGAAAAAUAAUCAAUCCAAUCAGUACAAGGCUGAGGCCCAAUUUCAAUAGCAACGGCCCAAUUAAAUUUCAGUAAAUCAACUUUUUUAUUAUUUUCAGUGCAGUAGCCCAACUAGCCAAGCAUUCCAGCGGCCCAGUUCUUCUAUUCAGCAUCAAAGGCCCAAUCAUAUCAUUUCAC